This 783-nucleotide long non-coding RNA is filed under the name Felis catus (domestic cat). RNAcentral describes it as "lncRNA (ENSFCAG00000048272.1)". The record is from RNAcentral. Lineage: Eukaryota; Metazoa; Chordata; Mammalia; Carnivora; Felidae.
AAGAGAAUUCUGUGAUACUGAAGUGAUGUAGCAACCAGUUAACCUUAAGUUCCAAAUGGAGACCAGAAUAUUAACUUUCAAGUUACACAAUUACUAGCAAAGAGUGACAAGGCCAUAGCUAAGAAAACACCCAUUCCAAAUAUAUGGAUUAGGAGGCCAAAUCUUAAGAAAAGAAUCUCCAAAUGAUACAUAUUUUGAAAGAUAAGCCUAGGAAUUACAAACUCCAUACAAUCAAUGAUACUAUGUGGAUAUGUCUAUUUGAAACCUUGCCAUCAAGUGUAGCUGUCUCUCAAGUGUCCCACGCAAAGUGCCCGUUGACUCACCUGGACUGACUCUAGCUCUCAGUUUCUUUUACAAAAAUCUAUAGAAGGUUAGCAAAUGGAGUCUGAACAUGGAAGAGGAAAGGUCAUGAACUUCAAAGCAUGAAAAGAAGAUAGAGAAAGAGAAGACCAAGUGAAGAAAAAUGAAAGAAAGAGAAUGGCAGGAAACAGACCUAGGAAGAAGUUAUCUAUCAUGGCGGUCAUCAUACUUUACCUCUGCCCUCCGUGCCUUGCAAUGGGGAAUGGCUGCAGAGAGUAAAAAUGUAUCAUGUGAGUCACAGAGAGUUUGUCUGGGAAGAGUUAUGAAACCAACCCCAUAUUGUUUCUUUUCCUUUUUAGUAGAGGAAAUAGCAUGGGCCUUCGGCAUGUGUUCAAAGGUACAUCCUGGUUCUCACAUGUGUUUAUCUCAGGGUAACCUAUAAGUAUUCUUUCAGAAAUAUUGUAAAUCUUUCUUAAGAAAGAG